Molecule: ribosomal RNA, 433 nt
Filed under: uncultured bacterium
Lineage: Bacteria
Description: partial 16S ribosomal RNA
Rfam family: Bacterial small subunit ribosomal RNA
Source: RNAcentral
AACGAACGCUGGCGGCAUGCCUAACACAUGCAAGUCGAACGAGACCUUCGGGUCUAGUGGCGCACGGGUGCGUAACGCGUGGGAACCUGCCCUUAGGUUCGGAAUAACUCCCCGAAAGGGGUGCUAAUACCGGAUAAUGUCUUCGGACCAAAGAUUUAUCGCCUUUGGAUGGGCCCGCGUUGGAUUAGCUAGUUGGUAGGGUAAAAGCCUACCAAGGCGACGAUCCAUAGCUGGUCUGAGAGGAUGAGCAGCCACACUGGGACUGAGACACGGCCCAGACUCCUACGGGAUGCAGGAGUGGGGAAUAGUGGACAAUGGGCGAAAGCCUGAUCCAGCAAUGACGCGUAAGUGAUGAAGGCAUGAGGGUUGUAAAGCUCUUUUACCCGGGAUGAUAAUGACAGUACCGGGAGAAUAAGCUCCGGCUAACUCCGUG